This 99-nucleotide small nucleolar RNA is filed under the name Capsicum annuum. RNAcentral describes it as "Plant small nucleolar RNA R71". It matches the Rfam family "Plant small nucleolar RNA R71". From Rfam's summary of the family: R71 is a member of the C/D box family of snoRNAs containing the C (UGAUGA) and D (CUGA) box motifs. Multiple nearly identical copies of this snoRNA have been identified in Arabidopsis, and it is thought to function as a 2'-O-ribose methylation guide for 18S ribosomal RNA. The record is from Rfam by way of RNAcentral. Lineage: Eukaryota; Viridiplantae; Streptophyta; Magnoliopsida; Solanales; Solanaceae.
UGAUAGUGACGAGGACAACUUCUGAGCAUGCCCUUGAAUCUCUCCCAAGCUUGGUAGAGAUUUUCUCCAUCUUUUUGUCAAUAUCUUACUCUUUAAUCG